UUCCGUGUUUUAACGUCGUUCUGGGAAAUGAUGACAGACCGACAGCCCUGGAGAAUGACGCACUAUAUGUAUCCAGGGCCUACCCAAUCCUCAGCUCCUGGAGUCCUGUGAUGAGGUGGGAAUCUCAGCUUGCAUGUUUUUAAAAAAGGACUGUCCGGUUUGGCCAAUGUACAUGGCAGACGGGCAUUGCUGGCACAUGAUGGCGUAUAUCACAUUAGUAGACGUGCAGUCAGGAGGGAUCCUUUCCUGCCCGUCAAGCAGACCUAUCAAAACUGAAUGGACCAUUGUGGGACAUCACCAUGCAAAGAUUUUGCUAAUUGCUCCUUCAGUCCAUGAAGAGGCUACCUGCAAAAAGGCUCGUCCCAUCAUCUUGACUUCUGGAAGAAGGAAAUUAAAAUAGCUGACAAGACAUUUUUGCAUGUCUUUUGCUAUUUGGACGCUCACAGGGCUGGAGCUACGAAACAGAAGCAGAGAUCCCCAGUGUCAACCUGGGUUAGACCAAAAGGUUAUUCAGAGCUGACAGAUUACUACAACUCUGUCACCUUUUGAAACCAUACACUGUAACCCAUUUGUGUAUAAUAUGCUUGCCUGCUUUAACCUUGUAAUAAUGCUCUCAUUUUUUUCUUAAUUAAUAAACCCUUAGGUAAUUUACUAUAGGAUUGGCUACAGGCGUUGUCUUUGGUGUGAGAUCAAUGUAAGUGGGGUAAGUGACUGGUCUCUUGGGAACUGGGAGCAACCUGAAUAUUUUGCAAUCUUUGGUGUAUAGCAGUGGUCACCAACCAGUAGAUAGCGAUCGACUGGUUGACCCUGGAGCCUCUAACAGUCAGUGCGAUCUCCAGCUGCUAAAAGUCC
Long non-coding RNA from Caretta caretta (loggerhead turtle), 852 nucleotides. RefSeq lists it as uncharacterized. NCBI's taxonomy places the organism in Eukaryota, Metazoa, Chordata, Testudines, Cheloniidae. The record is from RefSeq and is a predicted model, not a curated record.